AAAAUGCGAUAAGUAAUGUGAAUUGCAGAAUUCAGUGAAUCAUCGAAUCUUUGAACGCACAUUGCGCCCGCCAGUAUUCUGGCGGGCAUGCCUGUUCGAGCGUCAUUUCAACCAUCAAGCCCCGGCUUGUGUUGGGGACCUGCGGCUGCCCGCAGGCCCUGAAAAACAGUGGCGGGCUCGCUGUCACACCGAGCGUAGUAGCAUACAUUCUCGCUCAGGGCGUGCUGCGGGUUCCGGCCGUUAAACGACCUUCAUAACCCAAGGUUGACCUCGGAUCAGGUAGGAAGACCCGCUGAACUUAAGC
This 304-nucleotide unclassified non-coding RNA is filed under the name plant metagenome. Its description in RNAcentral is "partial contains 5.8S ribosomal RNA, internal transcribed spacer 2, and large subunit ribosomal RNA". The stretch from base 1 to 105 matches the Rfam family "5.8S ribosomal RNA", at positions 50 to 154 of the family's 154-position model. The record is from RNAcentral.